GUAGAAGACAGGCAUCCUCAUUGCCACACCUCUCUCCUGUCCCGUGUUCUAGGAAACCCUUCAAUCGGUUGGCCAUCACCCACUGAACCAAGCUCCAAAACUGGUAACCCCAGACACCUGCACAUUCUCAUUCGGUGCUCAGUGGUCAUCAUCCCCUUCACCAUCCUCCUCUUCUUUCUCCUUCAUCUCUGGUGCUCUGACAAAAGAAUACGUCUCACAAAGCAGAGUCCAGAGACCGCAGGGCCAUGUGUGGAAGCAGGAUGGAGCAUGCAGGUAUGUGUGUUUUUCACUAGCAGGAUGCUCCCUGGCCCAAGUCAGGAGCCACAGAGGCGGGGCUUUCUAGAGAGAGCACCAGACACCCUGCCCCUGCCCUCAGCUCACAGACCUUUGCCUGAUUCUGAACUGUAUCCUCACAUCCCUGUAGCCAUUGACAUCCAGGAGAGUGUUCGAUGACAGGCAGAAAGUGGGAGACAGAAUCAAUGGGAUGGGAAUUGCGAGCUCUUCAUGGGAGGGAUUCUUGUACUCAGAUAGAAUGUCUGAAUCUGGCUGUUGGCAGCUGAGGGACCUCAGGCACCCAUGGCCUCCCCCUGUGUGUUGGUGUUUGCACAUGAAGUGAGGACCCAGAAGUGUCCUCCCAGGUAUUUUGAUGACUUCCAUCUCCUACAGAUGCUGCAGUCAAAGACCAAGAGCCUGGGGCGGACAGAACAGUGAACAGGGAGGUAGGUCCUCCUCGGCCCAGCCUCAGGAAUGGGGUCUUAUUCCCUAAUAGUCCCGAAGAAUGUGAGCCCCUCCCUCAGUCAACGUUUCCCUCUCUUCAGGACUCUGAUGAACAAGACUCUCAGGAGGUGACAUUUGCACAGCUGGAUCAAUGCGUUUUCACACAGAGAAAAAUCACUCGCCCUUCUCAGAGGCCCAAGAGACCCCCAACAGAAACCAGUGUAUACAUGGAACUCCCAAAUGCUGAGCCCAGAUUGCUGUCUCCUGUCCAUGAGAACCAUAGACAGGCCUUGAGGGGUCCUCUAGGGAGACAAUGGCCCUGUCUCAAACCCUGCUUGCCAGCUCCAAUGUAACAGCACCUGGGACCUGAAGGCGUGAGUCUGCAUCUUAGGGGAUUGCUCUUCCUCACAGCAUGAAUCUGAACGUGGCUGUCUCUCACUUACAAUUGUCUGCGGUCCUCACUGCCUGCUGGAGAGAAAACACACUUGUUUGCUUCACACACAAUUCUCCUUUUUACUUGACCCCUGCCCACCUCUCCAACCUACCUGGCUUACUUCCUGGUCCUACCUGAGGCUGCAGUCACACUGAGGAACUCACAAGUCCAGACUAGAAGAGGCUCCCUCUUAACACAGCACUUAGACACAUGCUGUUCCAGUUUUCCUCAUGCUGUUCCACAUUCCCUCAGACUUUGAGGGAUUUUGCAGCCUUCUGUCUCCAGUAAAAUUUUUAAGUUCUUUUUAUAUAUAAUUUUGAUGUAGUUCUCCUCAAAUAAAC
Molecule: long non-coding RNA, 1491 nt
Filed under: Aotus nancymaae (Ma's night monkey)
Lineage: Eukaryota; Metazoa; Chordata; Mammalia; Primates; Aotidae
Description: lncRNA (ENSANAG00000039006.1)
Source: RNAcentral